This is a long non-coding RNA of Oncorhynchus keta (chum salmon), 4324 nucleotides long. RefSeq lists it as uncharacterized. The transcript has 4 exons. The record is from RefSeq and is a predicted model, not a curated record. Lineage: Eukaryota; Metazoa; Chordata; Actinopteri; Salmoniformes; Salmonidae.
UUGUGUGGGUUGUAGACUCCGUCUCAUGCUACCACAAGAAUGAAAGCACCGCCAGCAUUCAAAAGUGACCAAAACAUCAGCCAGGAAGCAUACGAACUGAGAAGUGGUCUGUGGUUACCACCUGCAGAGAACCACUCCUUUAUUGGGGGUGUCUUGCUAAUUGCCUAUAAUUUCCACCUGUUGUCUAUUCCAUUUGCACAACAGCAUGUGAAAUGUAUUGUCAAUCAGUGUUGCUUCCUAAGUGGACAGUUUGAUUCACAGAAGUGUGAUUGACUUGGAGUUACAUUGUGUUGUUUAAGUGUUCCCUUUAUUUUUUUGAGCAGUGUAUAUAGCAUUUACAUAAGUAUUCAGACCCAUUACUCAGGACUUUGCACUUACAGAUUCCAGUAUUCUUUGGUAUGACACUAGAAGUUUGGCACACCUGUAUUUGGGGAGUUUCUCCCAUUCUUCUCUGCAGAUCCUCUCAAGCUCUUUCAGGUUGGAUGGGGAGCAUUGCUGCACAGCUAUUUUCAGGUCUCUCCAGAGAUGUUUGAUCAGGUAAAAGUCUGAGCUCUGGUUGAGCCACUCAAGGACAUUCAGAGACUUGUCCCAAAGCCACUCCUGCAUUGUCUUGGCUGUGUGCUUAGGGUCGUUGUCCUGUUGGAAGGUGAAUCUUCGCCCCAGUCUGCGAUUCUGAGCGCUCUGGAGCAGGUUUUCAUCAAGGAUCUUUCUGUACUUUGCUCCCUUCAUCUUUCCCUCGAUCCUGACUUGUCUCUGCCGCUGAAAAACAUCCCCACUGCAUGAUACUGCCAUCACCAUGCUUCACCGUACGGAUGGUACCAGGUUUCCUCCAGACGUGAUGCUUGGUAUUCAGGCCAAAAGUUAAAUCUUAGAUUCAUCAGACCAGAGAAUCUUGUUUCUCAUGGUCUGAGUCCUUUAGUAGCCUUUUGGCAAACUCUAAGUGGGCUGUCAUGUGCCUUUUACUGAGGAGUGGCUUACAUCUGGCCACUUCACUAUGGAAGGUUCUCCCAUCUACACAGAGGAACUCUGGAGCUCUGUCAGAGUGACCAUCAGGUUCUUGGUCACCUCCUUGACCAAGGCCCUUCUCCCCCGAUUGCUCAGUUAGGCCAGGCGGACUGCUCUACGAAGAGUCUUGGUGGUUCCAAUCUUCUUCCAUUUGAGAAUGAUGGAGGCCACUGUGUUCUUGGGGACCUUCAAUGCUGCAGAUAUUUUUUGGUACCCUUCCCCUGAUCUGUGCCUCGACACAAUCCUGUCUCGGAGCUCUACGGACAAUUCCUUCGACCUCAGGGCUUGGUUUUUGUACACUAUCAACUGUUGGACCUUAUAAAGACCGGUGUGUGCCUUUCCUAAUCAUGUUAAGUUUACCACAGGUUGACUCUAAUCAAGUUGUAGAAACAUCAAGGAUGAUCAAUGGAAACAGAUUGCACCUGAGCUCAAUUUUGAGUCUCAUAUCAAAGAGUCUUAAUACUUAUGCAAAUAAGGCAUUUCUGUUUUUUAUUUGUAAUACAUUUGCAAAAAAUUCUCAAAACCAUUUUUUGCUUUGUCGUUAUGGUAUAUUGUGUGUAGAUUGAUGAGGGGAAAAAAUGUAACAAAUGUAACUAAUGCUGUAAUGUAACAAAAUGUGGAAAAAGUGAAAGGGUCUGGAAACUUUCAGAAUGCACUGUUUAGUACCUUCAGAAAGUAUUCACACCCCUUGACUUUUUCCACAUUUUGUUAUGUUACAAAGUGGGAUUAAAAUGGAUUUAAUUCAAAUUUUAACACUUAUAAAAAUCAUUUUUUUAAAUAAUAAAACACAAAUAUGUCUUGAUUAGAUAAGUAUUCAAGCCCCUGAGUCAAUACAUGUUAGAACCACCUUUGGCAGCGAUUACAGCUGUGAGUCUCUAGGUAAGUCUAAGAGCUUUCCACACAUGGAUUGUGCAACAUUUGCCCAUUAUUAUUUUCCAAAUUCUUCAAGCCCUGGUUGUUGAUCAUUGCUAGACAUCCAUUUUCAGGUCUUGCCAUAGUUUUUACUUAAAUCUGCUUCAGUCACUCAGGAACAUUCACUGUCUUCUUGGUAAGCAACUCCAGUGUAGAUUUGGCCUUGUGUUUUAGGUUAUUGUCCUGCUUAAAAGGUGAAUUAAUCUCCCAGUGUCUGGUGGAAAGCAGACUGAACCAGGUUUUCCUCUAGGAUUUUGCCUGUACUUGGCUUCAUUCUGUUUCUUUAUCAUGAAAAGUUCCCCAGUCCUCAACGAUUACAAUCAUACCCAUAACAUGAUGCAGCCACCACUAUGCUUGAAAAUAUAGAGACUGGUACAUUGUGUUGCAUUGGAUUUUCUCCAAACAUAACAUCUUGUAUUCAGGGCAAAAAGUGAAUAGCUUGUGAGAGCAAUUACAAGAUUGUUAUAAUACUUUUAUUCCAUCAAAUGGUUGUUUUAUGCAACAGAAGAGGGUUCUUAUAAAUAUAUUGUGUCUGCGUGAACUGAAAGUGGGCCUCUGGGAGAUUUAACACUGACAGGAGAUUUACAAUGUCUUUGGGUAAUACGCAUUCCAGAGCAUGAGUUAAUGUUUCUGUUUUAUAAGGUAUCAGAGAGAGAUGACUCCAGGACCAGUGUCACACCCUGACCAUCGUUUGCUUUGUAUGUUCUAUGUUUAGUUUGGUCAGGGUGUGAUCUGAGUGGGCAUUCUAUGUUGGAUGUCUUGUUUGUCUGUUUCUGUGUUUGGGCCUGAUAUGGUUCUCAAUCAGAGGCAGGUGUUAGUCAUUGUCUCUGAUUGGGAGCCAUAUUUAGGUAGCCUGUUUUGUGUUGGGUUUUGUGGUUGAUUAUUCCUGUCUCUGUGGUUGUUUGCACCAGAUAGGGCUGUUUCGGUUUUUCACGUUUUGUAUUGUUUGUCAUUAUCUUUAUUAAAGAUGUAUGAAGAUAACCACGCUGCAUUUUGGUCCUCCUCUCCUUCACCCUAACAACCAGAACCUGGUUUAUACACAAUGAGAACAGUUUUUACAGCAGAUAUUGUCUGCUGUGAAUAACUAUCUUUCAUUCAAAUCUUAACAUUCAAAUCUUGUUUGUCAUGUAGACUGAAGGGGAUGUAUCUUGGCUAUAAGACCUUUGUCUAUUUGUCUCAGGGCUCUCAACAAAUCAUCUGAGGGUGAUUCGUCGUCCAGCCAUCAUUAUCGUAGAGCUCUCAAUCGAUUCACUUUGUGUUUAGUAUUGACCUGCUCCCUUAUUAAGUGAAUAAAGAUUUAUUAUGUGAUAAGUUUGUCUCAUUUGAUAAAGAAAUUAACCACCACAUGCUUUCCCACAAUUUUUGCAGUAUUAAUUUAGUGCCUUGUUGCAAACACAUGUUUUGGAAUAUUUUUAUUCUGUACAGGCUUCCCUCUUUUCACUCUGUCAAUUAGGUUAGUAUUGUGGAGUACAAUGUUGUUGAUUAGGUUAGUAUUGUGGAGUACAAUGUUGUUGAUUAGGUUAGUAUUGUGGAGUACAAUGUUGUUGAUUAGGUUAGUAUUGUGGAGUACAAUGUUGUUGAUUAGGUUAGUAUUGUGGAGUACAAUGUUGUUGAUUAGGUUAGUAUUGUGGAGUACAAUGUUGUUGAUUAGGUUAGUAUUGUGGAGUACAAUGUUGUUGAUUAGGUUAGUAUUGUGGAGUACAAUGUUGUUGAUUAGGUUAGUAUUGUGGAGUACAAUGUUGUUGAUUAGGUUAGUAUUGUGGAGUACAAUGUUGUUGAUUAGGUUAGUAUUGUGGAGUACAAUGUUGUUGAUCAGGUUAGUAUUGUGGAGUACAAUGUUGUUGAUUAGGUUAGUAUUGUGGAGUACAAUGUUGUUGAUUAGGUUAGUAUUGUGGAGUACAAUGUUGUUGAUUAGGUUAGUAUUGUGGAGUACAAUGUUGUUGAUUAGGUUAGUAUUGUGGAGUACAAUGUUGUUGAUUAGGUUAGUAUUGUGGAGUACAAUGUUGUUGAUUAGGUUAGUAUUGUGGAGUACAAUGUUGUUGAACCAUCCUCCAUUUUCUUCUUUCACAGCCAUUCAACUCUGUAACUGUUUUAAAGUCACCAUUGGUGAAAUCCCUGACCGGUUUCCUUCCUCUCCGGCAUCUGAGUUAGGAAGGACUGCUGUAUCUUUGUGACUGGGUGUAUUGAUAGACCAUUCAAAAUGUAAUUAAUAACUUCACCAUGCUCAAAGGUAGGGUUGUCAAACUCAUUCCAUGGAGGGCCUAGUGUCUGCUGGUUUUUGUUUUAAAUUGAAACCUAGACAAGAGAGGAGCGAAAACCCACAGACACUCAAUUCUCAGUGGAACGAGUUUGACACGUGCUCAAAAUAUUAUUCAAUGUCUGUUUGAAAAAAACAUUUAAUACCUGG